CCACACCAUGACAUAUUUUAUAGGCUACAACAGAAUGCUUAUUUAAAGCCUAUUUUCAGUGUGGGAAGGGAACCCAGUGCUGGCUUGUGCUCACUGGGACUGGUAGGUACAGAGUGGGCAGGCAAAAAAAGCAAAGUGCCAUCAAAUUCAAGCACAAUCUGUAGACAUAUCAAAGAACCCUAUAGCGCAGAAAGAAAAAUGAAUCCAAAUGAUAACUUUUUUGAAGCCAUGGGUUGUUGUUGUUGUUGUUGUUGUUGUUGUUGUUGUUGUUGUUUAGUCCUUUAGUCGUGUCCGACUCUUUGUGACCCCAUGGACCAGAGCACGCCAGGCACUCCUUUUUUAAAAAAAGUUUUUUAUUUAUACAAUAAGAAAAACAAACAAACAAAAAACACAAAUACCGAAUUACACACAGAUUACAAAAAUAACCAUAGACACUUAAUAUUCUUAGCAAACAAUAAAACAUCUAUUGGUCUUAACACUAAAGACCCAACCUCCUGUCUAUUCCAUACUUCAAAUUCAUAUUACUUAUUGCCAAUACACUUUUUUUUUCAUAAUUAAACUUAUUCUCAUUAAAUCUAAUUUCUUAUAUCUACCUUGCAACUAUUACUGAAGUUCCUCGAAUGCUGCAACAGAAUUUAAACUACUAUAUUUAUUUUUAUAUAUUCUUUAAAAACCUCCCAUUUAGAAACAAAUUCCUGUUUUGAUUUAUUUUUUAUUUUGUCUGAUAAACCAUCUAAUUCAGCAUAUUCUGUCAGCUUUUGGAUCCAAUCUUGAAUAGAGGGGAUUUCAUUACUCUUCCAUUUUGCUGCGAUCAAAACUCUUGCUGCCGCCGUCGCAUAUAAAAAGAUACCCUUCCUCUUUUGUGGAAUAUCCAAAUCUGUUAUUCCCAGGAGGUAGGCCUCUGGUUUUUUAUUGAAAGUAGGCACUCCUGUCUUCCACUGCCUCCCGCAGUUUGGUCAAACUCAUGCUGGUAGCUUCGAGAACACUGUACAACCAUCUCGUCCUCUGUUGACCCCUUCUCCUUGUGCCCUCCAUCUUUCCCAACAUCAAGGUAUUUUCCAGGGAGUCUUCUCUUCUCAUGAGGUGGCCAAAGUAUUGGAGUCUCAGCUUCAGGAUCUGUCCUUCCAGUGAGCACUCAGGGCUGAUUUCCUUAAGAAUGGAUAGGUUUGAUCUUCUUGCAGUCCAUGGGACUCUCAAGAGUCUCCUCCAGCACCAUAAUUCAAAAAACAUCAAUUCUUCGGCGAUCAGUCUUCUUUAUGGUCCAGCUCUCACUUCCAUACAUCACUACAUGGAUCCCCUUCAUGGAUCACUGCCUUGCCGUGGCGAAGGGGCUUGAAUAACUCAGAGAAGCUACGAACUAUGCCGAGCAGGGCAUCCAAGAUGGACAGGUCAUAGUGGAGAGUUUUGACCAAACGUGAUCCACCUGGAGGAGGAACCGGCAAGCCACUCCAGUAUCCCUGCCAAGAAAACUCCAUGGACAAAGAAGCCAUGGGUAGUGGUUCCCAAAUGCCAUAAUCCUCUGAAAGCACAGGUGCUUCAAUGCACACAGACACACAGGCAUAACUUCUUGCAAUAUUGAAUUGCUGAAGCCAGUUACUUGUGUAUAGAGGUGGGUGGAGCUGUCAAUUUUGUUCCCUUCAUUUUCUCAUUUUUCCGAUCUUAAAUUCAGUUCUCCACACAUCUGCACCAAUUUGUGAGUUAAAAAAUAAUAAUUUGUGAACAUCCAGUAGUGUUUUAGUGCAUAUUUCCCCCUAAUAAACACAUUUUUAUGUAUGCAAUUUCCCCUAAUGUACACAUUUUUGCAAAUCAAUUCCCCCUAAUAUAAUGCAUCUCUGUAUGUCGUUUUGACUAAUAAAUGCACUUCUGUGCACACUUUACCUCAGUAGCUGUGCUUUUGUCCACAUUGAUUGGCUGGAGAACUGUUUUGCAAAAUUCAGAGAAGUGUGACUUUCAAAGGGAGGCUGUGCUUCAGUUUACAUACUGUUUCAGAAAGUGUAGAUUUGGUAGGUUCAUCCUUAAAUAUGAGUUUCAUAGAAUUUCUCCCUCGUCCCUAUUUGCGGAUGUAUUUCCAUGGGUGGAAAUUGCACUGUUUUGGAAUAUCUAUGAGACAAGUUAAUUCAAUAGUCAUCCCCCCACCCCAAAGUUGCCUCAAUCUGCCCAGUGGUGCAGCUGGUUCUGGAAGCAGUUCGUGGGAUCCCAGAGAAUGGCAAAUCUGCAAGGUACCAGGGAUCUCUAACAGAGAACUGUUAGCGCACACCAUCACAGACCACCAUUGCUAGGAUUCUUUGGAGUGGAAGGUCAACUGGUAUAAAAGCAAAAUAAAUUUGUAAAGUGGAUAAGUUACCUGAGUCAUCUUUGGAGAGACGAGAGAUUAGUAGGAGACGGACCAAACACAUUCUCUUGGCUUCCAUAACUUAUUCAUUAGGCAACAGAUUGCAAUGUGUAUAUUUUCAAAAAGAGUUAGCUGCUCGGUUGUUAAAAUAUAUUCUGCCGUCAUAAACUUUUGCAAUUGGAAACCUUCUUCUCGUUUCUACAAUAGGUUAACAUCAGUGUGCUUGUGUGUCACCAGUUUCAUUCAGCCUCAGACUCCAUACUCUCUGUGUCCCUCUGAGAGACCUGCUGGGACCUCCAGUAAAUACAAAUGGAGUAAUAUGAUACUUGCUACACUGACUCAGUAAAAAUCACAACAUUGUGUAUUCUGUUUCCUGAGGAAAUGCCUUAGAACAUUGCUCCCGGAGGACUCAGAAAGUAUCAAUUCUUCUCAUUAUAAGAGAUAAUUCUACGCAUCCCCCUAUUGUAGGAGUCAAGUUGACUGCCAUACACACUUCAAGCUGAAAACAUAGCAUCCGGACAGCAAUUUAAUAUACGGCUGGCUCAGGCAGGCAUAUGACCCGUGAAAUCAAAAGCUGCGCACCAGCUUUGUUUUGCAGCUCUUGCGGGUGUUAGGACAACCCCAACCAUCUUUGCAGUCCUGCAGGUAGCAAUAAGAGAAAGCUUACUAAGCCUCUAGCAGUCCUCUGAACAUGGCUGCCGGGCUGCGCUCAACUUGGUGAGUCAUGAGUUGUUCAAGCCUGUGCUACUCUAUUCGUUUUAACAGGCAGCAAACCGACAAGACCAAAACAAGACAUUUUGCUGACUGAGGUGGACUAGCAAUUGGACCCCAUCUCCCCAUGUAAGGGCAUGUAAUUGCAACUUGACUAGCUGGUUUAUUUUGGCACCCAAGACAGAAAAUCACACAAGGAUAUUUUCUUGUUUGCACAACAAUAAUAACAACUUACAUUUUACUGCCCUUUCAUGAUUGCCUAAAAUCAACCACCUGAGGCAGCUGCCUCUGUCUGCCUAAUGGUAGGGCUGGCUCUGGUCAGCAAACCACUCUGCCGUGGUCAGAGACAAGAAUAGAACAAUUAUAAGGAAAUUGGACUCCACUCAGCAAACAUCUUAAAUCAGGCCAGUGUCACCCACUGAAGUAAACAAUAUGCAAAGAUUGUUUACAGUGCACUUAUUGUUUCUCUGCUAGCAUUGUUGAUUUGUGGUACAGUCAUACCUUGGGUGAAGUAGCUUCUGGUUAAGCAUUUUCGGGUUGCGCUCCACGGCGACCCGGAAGUAACGGAGCACGUUACUUCCGGGUUUCGCUGCUCGCGCAUGCACAGACGCUCAAAAUGACUUCACGUGCAUGCACGGAAGCGGCAAAUUGCGACCAGUGCACGCACAGACGCGUGGACACGGGUUGUGUUCACUUCAGGAUGCGAAUGGGGCUCCAGAAUGGAUCCUGUUCGCAUCCAGAGGUACCACUGUAUCUCUGUGAUGGGAAACCUGUAGUACUCCAGAUGUUGUUGGACAACUCCAGUCAUCCCUGACCAUUGGCAAUGCUGGUUGGGGCUGAUGGGAGUUGGAGUCCAGCAACAUCUGAAGGCCCACAGGUUCCCACUCCUGCUUUAGAGAACAAUGGUACAUAUUGCAACACGGCGCCCACUCAAAAGAUUCGUAAUGAGCUCAUUUAAAUGACAAUGAUGAAUGCUUGUGAUGGAUAUGCUGAUGUCUUGACAGAACAGUUUAUUGCUUGCAUGUGUGUUGAAUUUAAGACUCCAAAGAUGCCGACAUGACUUAUCAAUUAUUUUCUACUUAAAAUGCAGAAGGAAUGACUUUUUAAAAAUAUACUUACAAACACAUCUUAGGAUUUGAUUUGUGAUUAAAAUUCCAUGUUCCCCUGGACUGACACUGUAUAAUGAAUAACACUCUCUUGUGUGCUACACUCAGUAAGAAUUAUCAGCUACUACAAUGCAUUUUGGAAAAUGACCCUCUUUGAAAGGCAUGCUCACCAUGAGGUAUGAGUAACUUCCGAUCGCCCAUUAGCUUUCUAACAUUCCCGACAUGUCAUGUGACUACUUUUGCUAAAUGAGCCCAAUCUAUGCAUGCAUUUUCAGAAGGAAACCCCAUUGAACUCAGUAACUGUGCAUAAAAUUGCACUCUUAAUGAGGGAUAGCUUUGCAAUUGGUGGGUCAUAUGAGGCCAGUAAAGCGAGUUGAGCUCCACAACCCCAGAGUCGUUCGCGACUGGACUUACCGGUAACUGUCAGGGGUCCUUUACCUUUACCUUUAUGAGGAGGGUUGCAACUCAGUGGUAGCACACAUUCUCUGCAUGCAAAUACUUCACUCCCUGACAUUUCCAGGGCUGAGAAAGACUCCUUCGUUUGUUUCUAACAAGUAGUCAAUAUUCUGGAAAAACCAUUCUUGAUAUAAUUCAUUUUAACACCACAAUAACACUUUGGUCCAAACCCAUUUAAAAAUCAGUUGUGACUAAGAUCACGAUCCUGUGCACACUUUCUUGAGAGUAAAUCCCUUGCUUUGGACCUUACCUCUGGAUAAAUCUCCAUAGAAUCGGGCUCUGCUGUAGCUGAGAACUCUAAUGCAUUAUUUGGAUUUAUUGGCACAUUUUGCAAACACUUAGGCACUUGGUUCCGAUACAUUUGCCUGUGAUUAACUUUGCCACACUAAAGAGGUUUCUUCCACAUCUUCAACUGUAUGAAUUAUUAACAUUGGCUAAUAGGUCAAUGAUACUAACAGAUUGCCAAGCGUGCCAAAUGUGGCUUUCUUUACAGGAAAAAUGGCGGGCACCAGAGUUUCAUUGCUUUUUCAAGGAGGGUCCAGGGCAGGUAUCUGUUUUGGGUUUUGAGGCACUGGCAGCUGCUGGAGGAAGCUGGGUGCUGGCUUUGGCCCAGGGUGGCAUGUGGGAGUCUGAUCAGCAAUGAACUAUAAAUCCAGCAAAGGAGUGACGUGAGUGAGAAAUGUUUUUCUUUGCUCUUCACUGUAUACCCCAUAAAAUUAUACUGUGUGUGUGUCACAGAGACACACAAAUGCACACAGAGAGAGAGAGAGAGGUUUUAGCCAUUCUAAAUAAGCACUGCUGAUAAAAAUGAUUAUUUAUGUUGCCAGUAAUGGAGCAUAAACAGCGCCCUUAUUAGUAGGCAAUUUCACGGUAUCUGCUCAGUACUUCUGCGAUUCCUGAUUUUAAAUGGAUGCGUCCAUUAAUUGCCUCUCCACCCCCUCAAUGUGAAAGCCUGAUUUAGUUCAAAAACAGUCAGGAUGAAAACACAAUCCUAGCUUAGGGAUGGUAUUUACAUGCAGGUCUUUUUGCCGUUGUGCCACAGGUCCAUUACAUGCUGUGUGAGUCAUCACAAUGCGCACUGUAGCAGUUGGCUGAAAAUGAGAAUGUAUUCCAUGUGUGAAAGUUAAUCCAAAUAUGGAAAUUGCCCUGUUUUGUAUUAACUACUGAUGAUACAGCAUAAUCCCCAGGGGCGGGGGUUAUUUUCUAGAUGCUUAUUCCUUGAAACUUGUGUGUGUGUCUCAAACUGGCCAUAUAUUUCCCCACAGUGAAGAAAGCUUUUUAAUUCCCUUGGCAUAUUAAGAAACCAGUCUGGUGUGGCAUACAGCAAACGUAUAGAAUGUAAGCACAUUAUUCAAGGUAUCCAGAUCAGGUGAGAGUCUGACAUGACAUCAGAACACAGCAUCCUCCAGCAGCUCAGGGUCACAGGACACAGGGAACUACUACUGAUCCAUCUAGUUCAGUACUGUCUGUACUGAUUGGCAGCAGCCUUCUCUCUCAGUCCUCCCUAGAGGUCCAAGGGAUUGAACCUGGGAUACUGUGCAUGCAAAGAAGAUGCUUGGCCACUGAGCUAUGGACCUUCCCUGCUGUUGGAGGCCCAGUGUCAGAGACCAGGCUGAGGAGAGCUACUCUGAUGAGGAAUGGUGGGGGGGCCUCCCCCUCCCUCUGCUCCUGACCAGGAUCCUGAAGCUGCCCAGGAGCAGUGGAGCAGUAUAGACUUGGAGCAGUGGUUUGAAGAGGGACAUAGUUCAGAAGACAACAGCUGGGAAGAACUGAGUGGAGAACAGCUAGGAGAAGAACGGGGAAGGGGGAGAGAGAGAAUUAACAGACUCCCUUUCGCUGGAAAGUGUCCAACUGAUCAGUCCAAGGUCAAGGAGAGCAGAUAAGGUGGAAUGCCAAAUGGUUUCGAGAUCAGGUUGCCAGACGAGGAAGUGACGGGGGUGGCUCAGGGGGAAGUGGGUGGAAACCUUAAUUGAGAGCGCCUUUCCUCUGAGAAUGGAGUCUUUGUUCUUUCGCUGUGAUUAUUAAAAAAUUAUUUAACUGGUAGGAGACUAUUUUUGCUUUUUUCUGUUUAUCCACAGCCAAAGGGAGGGAGGAAGGAUCCAAGAUGCAGAUAUGGCAAUCUGUUUGCUCAUUUGGAAGUUCCAUGAUACACCUAGCCACCACAAUUUUGUCUCCAUCCUUUUAGGAGGCCAUCUAAAUUAGUGGUCACCCCUCCUUCUCUUUUGUUAUAGAGAACUUCAUGAGUUUAGCUACGUGCUGUGUGAAGGCAUACUUUCUUCUGUCUGUCUUGGCCUGAACUUACUAACUAGAUUGGCAGUGUGCACAUGAACAAAACAUACAUGCAUACAUAUAUAUGUGGCGCUUCGCAACACGGCUUCAAAUUUAAUUUUGGUCUCCGAGAUUCAAAGUAAGCAAAAUGAAGAAAUGUCAUAUGCUGGUUCUCCUAACAACAGGAAUAUCGGUUACAGAAAAUUUACAUUCAAGUUUUCAUUGCAGGCCAUGUAAGCAGAAUGCAAAUGACAGUAACAAAUGCAGUUUAGUUGCUUGGUAUCAGAUUUGGCACGUUCAGAACAAUGAACCCAGACAUGGAGAUAUUCCUUAGUUUGCCAUCUUUCAUGAAUAACCUUUUCCAUGAUCCACACAGUCCAGAUUUUAAUAAAACCUUUAUUGAUUUGCCUACAGAGGUUCUUCUUUUCUCGCAGGAUGUUCUGUGGCCAAUGUAGCCAUGCAAUAAACAAGGGUAAUCUGUUCCACACUCACACAGUUCAAGGUUUAUGAAUAUGGUGUGAUACACAAAGAAGGAAACAUAAAUAGACAUCCUUUCCCAUAGCCAGAGACCCCUAACAAAGAAGGAAGAGUGAUGUUUCUAAAGGUUCGCUCUCAAGACAUGCUUCCAGAAAACAAAUUAUCCCAAUUUUACUCAGAAUCGCAGACAAUUUGUAACAAUAUUUAUGAAACUGCCUUAUCCUGAUUGAGAACAUUGAUCUAUCUAGCCUGAUGCUGCCUGCUCUGACUCAUAGAAGCAUUCCAAGGUCUUUCCCAACCCUGGAACUCUUUUAACUGGAGGAAUCAAACCUGAAUCUUGAAGGGUAGCUCUACCAUUGAGGUACUGCAGGUAACAGUUAGCACUUUACAUUAGAGCACAUUUUCCAUCCCAGGGACCACGUCCCCUCAAGGAGAACCUUCAAGUAGAUUACCAUUAUGUUUCCUGGAAAUUCAC
Podarcis lilfordi (Lilford's wall lizard) is the source of this 7825-nucleotide non-coding RNA. The record is from the annotation of a GenBank genome assembly. NCBI's taxonomy places the organism in Eukaryota, Metazoa, Chordata, Lepidosauria, Squamata, Lacertidae.